GAUGUGGAUACAGAAAUUCUUGGAAAGAAGUUGAAGAACAUGAAUAUUGAAGGCAUUCCUUCUCAAGAAAAAAAAAAUGUAGAGCAAGAUGUUGAAGAAAAUAUACCACAAUCUCAAGAUGAGCAAGGUACAUCAAAUUUACCAAAGAAAUAAAAGUAUGAUCCUAAACACCCUAAAAAAUUAAUUAUAGGUGAUUCAUCUUAUGGUGUUAAAACUAGAGCA
This 222-nucleotide long non-coding RNA is filed under the name Elaeis guineensis (African oil palm). RNAcentral describes it as "long non-coding RNA (EGUI_LNC045943)". Lineage: Eukaryota; Viridiplantae; Streptophyta; Magnoliopsida; Arecales; Arecaceae. The record is from RNAcentral.